CGUAGUUAGCCGGGACUUAUUCCUGGGGUACCGUCCUUCCUCGUCCCCCAGAAAAAGCGGUUUACGACCCGAAGGCCUUCCUCCCGCACGCGGCGUCGCUGCCUCAGGGUUUCCCCCAUUGGGCAAGAUUCCU
RNAcentral lists this ribosomal RNA (133 nucleotides) under uncultured bacterium. RNAcentral describes it as "partial 16S ribosomal RNA". The record is from RNAcentral.